CAGCCGCCGCGGUAAUACGUAGGUGGCAAGCGUUGUCCGGAAUUAUUGGGCGUAAAGGGCUCGCAGGCGGUUUCUUAAGUCUGAUGUGAAAGUCCCCGGCUCAACCGGGGAGGGUCAUUGGAAACUGGGAAACUUGAGUGCAGAAGAGGAGAGUGGAAUUCCACGUGUAGCGGUGAAAUGCGUAGAGAUGUGGAGGAACACCAGUGGCGAAGGCGACUCUCUGGUCUGUAACUGACGCUGAGGAGCGAAAGCGUGGGGAGCGAACAGGAUUAGAUACCCGCGUAGUCCCUGUCUCUUAUAC
Molecule: ribosomal RNA, 301 nt
Filed under: uncultured bacterium
Lineage: Bacteria
Description: partial 16S ribosomal RNA
Rfam family: Bacterial small subunit ribosomal RNA
Source: RNAcentral